RNAcentral lists this long non-coding RNA (1579 nucleotides) under Linum usitatissimum (flax). RNAcentral's name for it is "long non-coding RNA (LUSI_LNC006703)". The record is from RNAcentral. Lineage: Eukaryota; Viridiplantae; Streptophyta; Magnoliopsida; Malpighiales; Linaceae.
AACCAUAUAUAUGCAGAAGUGUUAUUGUUUAUUAGCGGUAAUUUCAUUUCGUGAGCAUGUGAUUUAUGGAAUUUUAUAUUUUUUCCGACAAUAUAACUUUGGAUUAUGUAGAGACAAUUUCUAAAAACAUAUUGAUUUAUACCCGAUUCGACAUAACGUCCUAUAGUCAUAUGAUGAGUAUUUACUUUUGAAAUUUAAGUUCAUUUAUUUUGAUCGGUUUUCGAAUUUUCUGCAAAUUCAGAAAAGAAAAAUGGACCUUUUUUUACGAAAAGGUAGCUGUUAUUACUGCAAAUUGCAAGUGAAGCAUUACAACGACAGUUGAUAAUUUAGGAGGUGCAAUCUGCAUAACAGAUUAUAAAGGGAGAAGAAAUCGACCCAAAAGGUUGAUCAACUUCGCAACCGAACGCUCCUCAAUAUCGAGACAAACGUCAAGUGCUCAAGAGACUAGAUAACGGAAUUCAUAACUACGGAACCCUAUGGAGCUAAUUAGACUCAAUCUCACCAAGUAUUGAAAGCUGGAAAAUAAAAGAGAAACAGACUUCAUAGCUUAUGGAACAGAAAAUGGAACUGACUGGAAGUUGGAUGUCGGUUGACCCAGCAGCGGGGGUUGGAGUUGUGGGAGAUGGUCAAAGUUGGACAAUUUGAACCCAGAAAAGAAUUUGAAGAUGUAAAUUUAAUUCCAUGAUAAGAAAGGUUCAAGUUGAUAUUUGAGGCCCAAAAAUGAAUGUUUAUGUCUUCAAUGGAAUGGACCACUGAAUUUUUGGGUACAAAUUAAAAGCUGAAGGAAAGAGAGAGACGUCAUCUCGGCCUGUUGGGUGGCCAUCAAAAGUCAUAACGAUGGUAGUUGAACAGGCUUUUAAUGGACUGGAUCUGACCCAUCUCAAUUAUUAACCAACCGUAUUCACCCAAUCCAGCCCACCUACUGAAAAUUUACUCACCCCCUAACCAACCCACAAACCACAGACUUUCGAUCAUACAUAAUAUAUUUAACUUUUUAGUUUUUAGUGAGUGAACUCUUUUUAAGUAUGAAAUUAUUAAUUGUCGGAGUAAACAUUCGUAUCAUAUCCUUCCUCUUUCAAUCAUCUCAACACUACUUUAUCAUGAUUUCAAUUAUUGCAUGUCCAUGCAUAUUUCCGUCCGUACGUCAACAGCAGCUUUGAUUUAUUGAUGUCCACCACCACCACCACCACCCCACCCACCUCCACCACCGAAUCCACCGCCUCCUCCACCUCCAAACCCACCCCCGCCGCCGGCACAUCAGCCUCAACCGCCGCUGGCACCUCCGCCUCCCCCUCCAACUCCACCACCUUUCCCAAAUCCUCCGCCUAUGCCACCACCUGAACCACCGCCAAACCCUCCUCCACCUCCACCGCCCCCACCAAUUCCUCCACCCUUUCCAAACCCACCACCAGAUCCACCUCCGAAACCACCACCCUUGCCAAAUCCACCGCCAGCUCCACCACCAAUGCCGCCUCCCUUGCCGAUUCCACCCCCUACUCCUCCACCCUUGCCAAACCCUCCACCGGUGCCACCACCAGCUCCACCACCCACACCGCCUCCAUCGCCGACUCCUCCACNN